RNAcentral lists this non-coding RNA (20 nucleotides) under Arabidopsis thaliana (thale cress). Lineage: Eukaryota; Viridiplantae; Streptophyta; Magnoliopsida; Brassicales; Brassicaceae. The record is from RNAcentral.
UUAGAUAAUAGUGUCCAGUA